AAUCAACGCUGGCGGCGUGCCUCAGACAUGCAAGUCGAACGAUUAAAGCUCUCUUCGGAGAGUGUAUAGAGUGGCGCACGGGUGAGUAACACGUAAGUAAUCUACCUUUGAGUGGGGAAUAACCCGGGGAAACCCGAGCUAAUACCGCAUAAUGCAGCGGCACCGCAAGGUGACAGUUGUUAAAGGAGCAAUCCGCUUAAAGAGGAGCUUGCGGCAGAUUAGCAGUUGGUAAGGUAAUGGCUUGCCAAGGCUUCGAUCUGUAUCCGGCCUGAGAGGGCGGUCGGACACACUGACACUGAAUAACGGGUCAGACUCCUACGGGAGGCAGCAGUCGGGAAUUUUGGGCAAUGGGCGAAAGCCUGACCCAGCAACGCCGCGUGAAGGAUGAAGUAUUUCGGUA
This 400-nucleotide ribosomal RNA is filed under the name uncultured bacterium. RNAcentral describes it as "bacterial SSU rRNA". It matches the Rfam family "Bacterial small subunit ribosomal RNA", at positions 32 to 423 of the family's 1533-position model. The record is from RNAcentral.